This 1420-nucleotide unclassified non-coding RNA is filed under the name Hevea brasiliensis (rubber tree). The record is from RNAcentral. Lineage: Eukaryota; Viridiplantae; Streptophyta; Magnoliopsida; Malpighiales; Euphorbiaceae.
CUCUUUUGUUUAUUUUUUUUCUUUCUUUACAUAAAUUCAUUUAGUGAAUGCUUCAAUAAGAAGAUUCAUAAACCCAUUCCAUGCAUCAGGGAGAGGCCCACUCGAAGUAAUGGCAACGUGCCCCUUUAGUAGCAGUCCAGUUCCCACAGCCAAAGAAGAAACUCCCUUGCUUUGGUCCUGGCUUGCGAACCAUACCCCUGCUGCUUCUAACCCCACAAAAACAGUAUGGGAAGUAUUGGACAACGGGAAUGUGCACAGGCUUUGGUUUCACCGGCGGUUGCAGAGGGAGCGACACAGCUUCUGGGGAUUGUUUCCAUUGCAAUGGACAGUCAGUGGUCUGCCACAUCAAUGAAUUGGUGAUGGAGAAUCUGAAGCCUCUAUGCAUAAGAAGGGCAAGUAGACGAGCAGUGUUCUUGGCAUCAUCAAGACCACAAUGAGCACGACCUUGCCAAGCUAAGCCUGCCAUCUCAACAGCUUCCUUUAGAUUGCAUCGUGCUCCCCCGAAAACCUCACGAAAUGGAAUUUUUAAGUUGAUCCAUCGGUUGAAAUAUGGAGGCUUCCGAAUCUUCUUGAAACGGCAUUCUGACUCUAACAUGACUCGGCAAUCCCAGUUUGACCAAGUUACCACUGCAAAAUUUGUAUUCUUAAUCCCCUUCUUUUCAAGCCAUUUAUCAUGCCUGAGGAGAGCUUCAUUGAGAGUAACACCUCUGUCCACCUGAAUUUGCUGAAUGCCAGUUAGAUCCCUGCAGAAGUCACUCAAGUGCUGAUUGCAAGUUGGGCGCACAUAUGUCUGAAAGCAAGCUUCCAGUUGGCCAGUCACACUACUUACAAUGACAGAUGGGAACUCAAUUAUCUCCUGUGGAUGGGGAUUUCUAUCUUUAUCACACGUUGCUUCAAAGUCUAUAACCACAAAAUAUUGAAACUCUUGCAACCGAAGAUCGCAAUGGUAAUUCUGUUCAAACAUUUUGAAAGGAACAUAUUGGAAACGGUUCUCCACUGGCAAAGAGUAGAAUUGACAAUCAGAAGCAUUCAUCUGGCACUGCUGCACCUUUUGAGAGUCAAAAUGGAAGGCUGGCCAUGAUCCAGAAUUAUGCUGAUAAGCAGGUUUAUUGUGAAAUUCAUUUGGACGUUCAAUGAAAUUGUUAACCAAUGGGUGGUUUGUUUCAGGAAUAUCAUUGUUGGCAUGACAACUGAUUUCAUCUGUAAGUUCUUGGAAACCAUCAGCAGAAUUUCCACUAUGUUGCAAACUGAAUGGCAUUCCAUUAUUCUGGAGGCAUUUUAUAGAGGCCUCACAGUUCCUCUGCAUACUUUCUUUGCGUUCAAGGGCCAUCAUGAUCUUCAGAGUAAUUGAGAUCGACCACCAAGUACAUCAGAUCUACCUCUGAAAUUCCCUCCUGGUGUGAUCUGGAAGGUGAGCCGG